Non-coding RNA from Acanthosepion pharaonis, 111 nucleotides. Lineage: Eukaryota; Metazoa; Mollusca; Cephalopoda; Sepiida; Sepiidae. The record is from the annotation of a GenBank genome assembly.
UUAUGGCCAUAUAAUGUUGAAACACCAGUUCCCAUGUGAUCACCAAAGUUAAGCAACAGCAAGGCUGGACAGUAGCUAGAUGGGUGACUGCUUGGAAAUAAUAGGUGCUGU